UACGUAGGGUGCAGGCGUUAAUCGGAGUUACUGGGCGUAAAGCGUGCGCAGGCGGUCUGCUAAGAGAGAUGUGAAAUCCCCGGGCUUAACCUGGGAACUGCGUUUCUAACUGGCAGGCUUGAGUGUGGCAGAGGGGGGUGGAAUUCCACGUGUAGCAGUGAAAUGCGUAGAGAUGUGGAGGAACACCGAUGGCGAAGGCAGCCCCCUGGGCUAACACUGACGCUCAUGCACGAAAGCGUGGGGAGCAAACAGG
RNAcentral lists this ribosomal RNA (253 nucleotides) under uncultured bacterium. RNAcentral's name for it is "partial 16S ribosomal RNA". It matches the Rfam family "Bacterial small subunit ribosomal RNA", at positions 524 to 776 of the family's 1533-position model. The record is from RNAcentral.